GGGGGCGGGGGGGGGCGCGAGAGGUUCACCCGGGGAUUUUCGGCGCCGCUGAUUGAUGGGCGCGCAGGGCUGUGCGUGAUCCUUCGGCUCCGCAGGCGAGGGAUGCGGCGAGCGCCCGGCACGGCUGGAGCUGUUUUGCAAAACUCCCCAGGUGCGGCGGGGCCGGCGAGACCAACUUCCAUGUCCCAUACUUGACACAAAAAUCGGAACCGUAGUAACCAACAGGUUUAAAGCAAAUACGAAGAGGUGCGCAGAGAGGAGCAGCUCUCAGGGGAAUAGCGCCUUGUUAUGUAUUCAGCACACACAUGACACAUGCAUGCUUGGAGCAAUGUUUAAGCGAGGCUUGGAGACUCCCCAGAUG
Heterocephalus glaber (naked mole-rat) is the source of this 361-nucleotide long non-coding RNA. Lineage: Eukaryota; Metazoa; Chordata; Mammalia; Rodentia; Bathyergidae. The record is from Ensembl.